This 158-nucleotide small nuclear RNA is filed under the name Zalophus californianus (California sea lion). Its description in RNAcentral is "U4 spliceosomal RNA (ENSZCAG00015004473.1)". It matches the Rfam family "U4 spliceosomal RNA". From Rfam's summary of the family: U4 small nuclear RNA (U4 snRNA) is a component of the major U2-dependent spliceosome. The structure of U4 snRNA from yeast and human has been reported. Lineage: Eukaryota; Metazoa; Chordata; Mammalia; Carnivora; Otariidae. The record is from RNAcentral.
AGCUUUGCGCAGUGGCAGUAUCGUAGCCAAUGAGGUUUAUCCGAGGCGCGAUUAUUGCUAAUAGAAUUGCCGGAAAUUUCUUUUAAAAAAGAUUGCACCUUGAAUUUCAUACUUUUAGUGACAGAAACUAAACUUGAAUUUCAUGAAAAUUCCAGAAU